AGCGAGAAAGUUUCCUUCGGGAGACGAGUAAAGCGGCGGACGGGUGCGUAACACGUGGAUGACCUGCCCGAGAGUGGGGAAUAACUUGGGGAAACUCGAGCUAAUACCGCAUACGCUCACAUGGCUGCGGCCGUGUGAGGAAAGUUGGCCUCUGUUUACAAGCUGACGCUCACGGAGGGGUCCGCGCCUGAUUAGCUAGUUGGUGGGGUAAUGGCCUACCAGGGCGACGAUCAGUAGCCGGCCUGAGAGGGCGAUCGGCCACACUGGGACUGAGACACGGCCCAGACUCCUACGGGAGGCAGCAGUGGGGAAUAUUGGACAAUGGGGGCAACCCUGAUCCAGCAACGCCGCGUGGAGGAUGAAGGCCUUCGGGUCGUAAACUCCUGUCAGUAGGGACGAAAAGCUCCUGGUCAACAGCCUUGAGUCAUGACGGUACCUGCAGAGGAAGCCCCGGCUAACUCCGUGCCAGCAGCCGCGGUAAUACGGGGGGGGCAAGCGUUAUUCGGAAUUACUGGGCGUAAAGAGCGCGUAGGCGGCUUGGUAAGUGAAAGGUGAAAUCCCUCGGCUCAACCGAGGAACUGCCUUUCAAACUGCCAGGCUUGAGUCUGGGAGGGGAUAGUGGAACUCCCGGU
RNAcentral lists this ribosomal RNA (632 nucleotides) under uncultured bacterium. RNAcentral describes it as "bacterial SSU rRNA". It matches the Rfam family "Bacterial small subunit ribosomal RNA", at positions 65 to 674 of the family's 1533-position model. The record is from RNAcentral.